Brienomyrus brachyistius is the source of this 3135-nucleotide long non-coding RNA. RefSeq lists it as uncharacterized. The transcript is spliced from 2 exons. Lineage: Eukaryota; Metazoa; Chordata; Actinopteri; Osteoglossiformes; Mormyridae. The record is from RefSeq and is a predicted model, not a curated record.
GUGAAUAUAUAGGGGGCGGCUGCUAUAGUGUUUUGGGAAUCUUUAGCAUAACGACGAAAAGAAAUUUGGGACUGGUUAAUUUACACGUGUUGCACAAAGGUGGAAAAUUAUGUCUGAAAAAUUAUUGGGCUUUCAGUCAGAGCUCGCUGCUCUUAUGAAAGUUUUAGUCAAAGCGGUUGUGAGUGAAACAACAAAACAUUUUGAGUUAAGCGUCAUCCAUCCGAAGGUUGAGACAGCUAAUAUCAAAAAAGAACGAAAAACUCAGGGUGAAGCUUUUUAGAGGAUGCUGGAGGCUGCUUCAAACCUGAGAGUGUAGACGGCGAGAAAUGUGAACGUAUCACCCAUGUGUGUUAUAUUGGCUUAAUCUGUAAUCAGGACGGCAGUCAGCUUUCUUCAUUUUAAAUGCCCUUUUCUGUUUGUACUCCUGAAUUAAAUGUUUAGAAUUAAAUUGUUUUACUAGGUAAAACUAACAUAAAUAUGUUUAGCGACACUUGCGAAGGGCUCGGAUUAUAAACCCUGUAGACGAAAAACAGACCGAAGGACAUUAUAAGCAUAUUACACCAAAAUGUGUUCCUUCACUUGCAUUUAAUAAAAUCUGUUGCUGCUGCGACACCGGCUGGGAACCGUGAUGCUUCUACAUGGGAGGAGCAUCGCUUUAAAGAAAACACACGUCAUGUGCUCUGCAGCAAAAUGACAAAGAGCAGGCAGGUGUGGAUCUACAGGAACUCCUGCUCCACCCCAAGCCACAAGCCUCUGCCCUGUGUUCCGGGAUCAUGAUUGGAAUCCACGACUUCACCAUCUUUGACAUGACAUUCCACUACGUCACAAUUUAUCUGCGACGUGAGGGCGAAGUUGGUCUCCCUGCCGACGAUUUUGCUUCAUUCGUAGCUCACGUUCGUGAAGCAAACCAACCUUGAAAGGGGUCACAUACAAAUGGCGUGUGAUUGAGUAGACAGCAUGAUUGAGAGGAGGUUACAAGACUGAAACAUGAAACAUUUAUGUUCCAGUUGAGAAUGCAGGGAGCUCGCUCCAGUUCCAAUUCUGUGUGAGGUAUGUGGGUAAACUUUCUUUAGGCACUUAAGCAAUCUGAAGCUGUGUAAAUCAAUCUGAACUGGAAAAACCUCUGCAGAUCCUACGGUGCAUGACCUCAGCUAUUUUACCACACACGUAUUACUCAAUAGCCUGGACACAACCACCCAUAGAAAGGCUUAAUUGCAAUAUCCUCUGCAUUUUAGCAUAAAGACAUCAUCCAUCUAUCCAUCCAUUUUCCAAAACUGUACUCUUUGCACAUGUACUCUUCAUUGGAGGUGAUUAACAGACUUGACCAUAUUCAGGGUGCUGAGGAGUCAGGAGCAUAUCCUGAAGGCUACUGGUUCAAGGCAGGGAACAACCCAGGAGGGGGUGCCAACCCAGCAAAAAGACAUUAAAACUAUAAAAUAACAUAUGGAAUUAUUCACUUACCAAAAACGUAUUAAACAAAAAAUAAUAAUUAGAUGGGGGAGCAGCUCUAUGGGUUGGGACUCAGAAUGUCGGCAGUUCAAACAACAACAACAAAACAACAAAUUUAUUUUUGUAUAGCUCAUUAUCAUAACAUUACAUCGUCUCAAAGCGCUUUACAGCAUCCGCACCCAAAGCCCCCAGUGAGUAACCCAGAGGCGACAGUGGCAAGGAAAAACUCCUAAGAAGGAAGAAACCUUGGGAGGGACCAGACUCAAAGGGGGAGUCCAUCCUCCAGGGGGCAGCAGAGGAAGCCCUAACCCUAACCAGACCCAAAGGGGGAGCCCAUCCUCCAGGGGGCAGCAGAGGAAGCCCUAACCCUAACCAGACCCAAAGGGGGAGCCCGUCCUCCAGGGGGCAGCAGAGGAAGCCCUAACCCUAACCAGACCCAAAGGGGGAGCCCAUCCUCCAGGGGGCAGCAGAGGAAGCCCUAACCCUAACCAGACCCAAAGGGGGAGACCAUCUUCCAGGGGGCAGCAGAGGAAGCCCUAACCCUAACCAGACCCAAAGGGGGAGCCCAUCCUCCAGGGGGCAGCAGAGGAAGCCCUAACCCUAACCAGACCCAAAGGGGCCGGCAGGGAUAGUCAAAUAGGAGAGAUGGUUAAGUGCCAAGUCACACUGUCCCAAUCAUAAGAUUUGAACCCCUGGGUCGGUAGAGUGAUCCUACCAUUGAGCCCUUGAGCGAGGCCCUUAAGCCCAAUUCAUUCAGGGACCGGCUGACCCUACUGUUUCUACGCCAGUUGGUUUCUUGUUAUUCUUUUCCAGCUGUCUUGAAGGAGAGGCCACAUAUCCUAAGUACUCAUUGUUCGCUCUGCCUUCACUCUCUGGUCAAACUCUUCCAAAACCAUUUCUCCUGUGUUUAGGUCAGGUGGCCAGACACUGCCGCGCUCUUUUGUUGGCAGCUUGGCACGUCCAGAUUUUUGACUGUUACUGUACAUACUUGCCGAUUAUUGCCUUCUGUGUUGGAUAUGUAACCAGUUAAAACCUGACUUUUGAUCUCCUCCGUCUCUGUCCACUGUCCCUCGUUCCUCUUCCUAUUUUUUUUCCAUCCGUCUGUUCUCUAGGUACAAUACGGACGGUACUAUGGAGUAAAAAAAAAGAAAAGAAAGCCACUCAUUUGCUGGGAACUGUAUCCCUUCCCACCUCUAUGGAAGAAGAGCACUGUGACCACACUAACCAUCCAGACAGGCCAUUAAGCAGCUACGAUCAAACAGCUGCAAGACCUGAAACAUAGUAAUUCCCAAGGACUUAAACUUUAUUUUAUGAUGGACUUCACUGAGUAAUCAGCAGUUGCAUGGGCACAUGGCUGAUUAUCUGUUCUGAUCAUUGUAUUAUUUUAUAUGGUUAGAUGACAGGGACAGCAAUUUCAGCUGCCUGGGCGAUCUGGAGUGACACCAGUGUAUUCACACCCGGGAAAGAUCUUACGGAUGCCUCCCUCGUAGCAUUUUGUGACAUAAAUGACAAUGCUGGAUUUGGACUCCAAGAGAAAUGGCCUUAUACAUGGUAAAUACUUUAUCAGCUCAGUUUCAUAUAGAAAAUGUAUACCACUGUUUUCAAUAACAUUGCUGUUAUGUACAGAUUGACCUUUUCGUUUAUUUAAUGCAUAUAAUGUGACAUUAAUAAAAGUAAAAUGUUAUA